Molecule: small nuclear RNA, 112 nt
Filed under: Camelus bactrianus (Bactrian camel)
Lineage: Eukaryota; Metazoa; Chordata; Mammalia; Artiodactyla; Camelidae
Also listed under: 2 other names
Source: RNAcentral
GUCCUAUACACACUUUGACAACACAUAUACAAAAAUUGUAACCAUACAGAGAAAAUUGGUGUGGCCCCUGACCAAGGAUAACUUGCAAAUUUGUGAACUGUUCCAUAUUUUA